UACAGAGGGUGCGAGCGUUAAUCGGAUUUACUGGGCGUAAAGCGUACGUAGGCGGCUUUUUAAGUCGGAUGUGAAAUCCCUGAGCUUAACUUAGGAAUUGCAUUCGAUACUGGGAAGCUAGAGUAUGGGAGAGGAUGGUAGAAUUCCAGGUGUAGCGGUGAAAUGCGUAGAGAUCUGGAGGAAUACCGAUGGCGAAGGCAGCUACCUGGGCCAACACUGACACUGAGGCACGAAAGCGUGGGGAGCAAACAGG
Molecule: ribosomal RNA, 253 nt
Filed under: uncultured Acinetobacter sp.
Lineage: Bacteria; Pseudomonadati; Pseudomonadota; Gammaproteobacteria; Moraxellales; Moraxellaceae
Description: partial 16S ribosomal RNA
Rfam family: Bacterial small subunit ribosomal RNA
Source: RNAcentral